This 622-nucleotide ribosomal RNA is filed under the name uncultured Actinomycetes bacterium. RNAcentral's name for it is "bacterial SSU rRNA". It matches the Rfam family "Bacterial small subunit ribosomal RNA", at positions 252 to 866 of the family's 1533-position model. Lineage: Bacteria; Bacillati; Actinomycetota; Actinomycetes. The record is from RNAcentral.
GUGGGGUAACGGCCCACCAAGGCUACGACGGGUAGCAGGCCUGAGAGGGUGGUCUGUCACACUGGGACUGAGACACUGCCCAGACUCCUACGGGAGGCUGCAGUCGAGAAUCUUCCGCAAUGGACGCAAGUCUGACGGAGCGACGCCGCGUGUAGGACGAAGGCCCUAGGGUUGUAAACUACUGUCACGGAUUAUGAAUGGUGUACGGUUAAUAGCCGUGCAAUUGACGUAAGUCCGAGAGGAAGCACCGGCUAACUCUGUGCCAGCAGCCGCGGUAAUACAGAGGGUGCGAACGUUGUUCGGAAUUACUGGGCAUAAAGGGCGCGUAGGCGGCGCGAUCAGUGUGGAGUGAAAGCCCACGGCUCACCCGUGGAACUGCUCUGCAUACUGUCGUGCUCGAGGACGGUAGGGGAGAGCGGAACUCUUGGAGGAGCGGCGAAAUGCGUAGAUAUCAAGAGGAACACCAAUGGCGAAGGCAGCUCUCUGGUCCGUUUCUGACGCUGAGGCGCGGAAGCUAGGGUAGCGAACGGGAUUAGAUACCCCGGUAGUCCUAGCCGUAAACGAUGGGCACUAGCUAGGGGCCCUCCCUGUGGGGUCCCUGGCGAAGCAAAUGUGCUAAGUG